Molecule: long non-coding RNA, 1648 nt
Organism: Callorhinus ursinus (northern fur seal)
Lineage: Eukaryota; Metazoa; Chordata; Mammalia; Carnivora; Otariidae
Source: RefSeq, a predicted model, not a curated record
UUUGCCCCAAAGACUUGAUAAAUCUUUCUUCUCUUCCAUUUCCCCCAGUCCUUUUUGCCCUCCAGAUGAGAAAGCAAUGGUGAGUCCUCUGGAUUCCAAUCAUGGGUUCCAGUGGAAGUUUCAGAGAAUCCCAGUGUAAGGAGGGAUGAGCAAGAGAAAAUGCCCGAAUACUCCCCUGGUUUCCUCUGGUGCCUUGGCCACAGAAACAUCCAAGCCUUGUUCCUAUCUGUGUUGAAACACAGCCACCUCCGGGUAGCGACAUGGCAGCUGCUAGCCAGCCCCAUCGCACAGCUGGUUUUGAACAGGAAAUGAGGGAGACCUUCUCUAGGGAAAAGUACAGGGAGUUUUUGGUGAGCAGAAUGCAAUUACCCUGGCUGGAAGUAUGCCAGGGUAGGAUGGUGCACUCCUGACUGUUGCAAAGGCACCGUGGGGGCUCCUCUCCCACGUAGACUGUGUUUUAAACAGAAGACAGACUGAAAAUAUAAUUAUGAUCAUCUUAAUCACUAUAAGGUAAUUAUGAUGAUGUUAAUAACUGUAAUAGUUUUCAAUAAAGAUUCUGUAACUUUCUCAGGUUGAGAAGACCAGUGGCCACAACAGUUGAAAACAAUAAAUUCAUAACAAAUGAUGGAUCAAUACUGGCAGCAUUACCUAGACGAACUCCUUCAAAAUUACUGACGGGCGUGCAUCGGUUCUCUACCAAGUGCUGGUGACCGUUUUUCCAGUCAAUAUUUGGCCUGCUCCUGCCACUGUGGGAAGCAGAUUGGACCCAGGGCACCAUGACUUCCUUUUGAGCUUGCCUUCACCUUGGAGUUUCACAAAACCUUUUCACAGCUGCUCCCUCUGUGCCCGCGUGGCAAAUUUGAUAAGCAAUUUGAAAAGAUUGUGUUUUGUUAUCCCCAGUUUAUGGGCGGGAAAACUGAGGCUUGAAGACAUAAAUGGACUUUGCAAGCCUACGUUGGUGAAGUGUCAGAGUGAUUAUACCACAUUAGGCCCUACACUUCACUGUCUUCUGGAGAACACUUGAAUAAUGCACAUCAUUCUUCCUUCUAGAAAUGCUAAUUUAUGUUUCUCAACAUAUUUUUAGUGCCGGAUUUCAGAAUUAUGUAAGAUGUAGUUUUGAAGUUGGAGCCAUCAAAAAGUUCAAUCAUGACUAGUUGACUAGAAAAUAUAUUUGAUAAUAAAAAUUCAGUUCAAAAAAAUGGAUUACAUAAUCCAUUUUGCUAAACAUAGCCUGUAAGAAUCUAAUGAGAGUCAACUCUGAAAUCAAUCACUCGAGAAGCUAAAUUGUUAAAGUUCUUGUAAAGUAGUUUCUUGAUAAAUGGCAUUCUUUGACAGAGCGGCUGGGUAAAUACGGUACACUCAUGAUUGAUCCUCAAGAAUCUUGAGUUAUUUUUAAAAUGAUAUUUCAUUUUUAUAUUGAUAUGCGGUCACAAAGAAUGACACACAUGGAUUCAAAUUCUAGUUCCCUCAGUAUCUGAAUGACCUUGGAUGUGGCCCUUCAUUCUGGAGUAGACGUCAGGAGGUGGAAUAGGGUUGACAUUACGUGCGUAGCUAAGGGAUGAUUAAAUGAUAUAUAGGAAAAUGCUCAGGAUGACAUCUGCCACACAGUAUGUGCUUCAGAGCUUAAUAAAAUUACUUCCAGUAGUUA